UCUUCCACCACAGGAUUCAGCAAGGAGGUGUUGAGGAAGAACUGCUUCAUCCUCCAGAUUUGAUCGAGUAGGGAGAUAUCCUCCACAACUGGAUCUAAGAAGAAAUGAUUGUUGAUGAGCAGGUUUAGCUGGAGCCUGUUAAUCUUCAAAUUGUCGGUACCUUUGUCUUCCACCAUGGGUGUGUGUUGGUCAAAUUCAUAUGUACCUCCUACAACAUGGUUAGUGCAAUGUGGCUCCACAGAAUUAACAUGAAGGGGUAUA
RNAcentral lists this long non-coding RNA (261 nucleotides) under Vigna radiata. Its description in RNAcentral is "long non-coding RNA (VRAD_LNC006549)". The record is from RNAcentral. Lineage: Eukaryota; Viridiplantae; Streptophyta; Magnoliopsida; Fabales; Fabaceae.